RNAcentral lists this ribosomal RNA (439 nucleotides) under uncultured bacterium. Its description in RNAcentral is "partial 16S ribosomal RNA". It matches the Rfam family "Bacterial small subunit ribosomal RNA", at positions 339 to 795 of the family's 1533-position model. The record is from RNAcentral.
CUACGGGUCGCUCCAGUGGGGAAUAUUGUACAAUGGAGGAAACUCUGAUGCAGCAACGCCGCGUGGAGGAUGACACUUUUCGGAGCGUAAACUCCUUUUAUAUAGGAAGAAGAUGACUGUACUAUAUGAAUAAGCGCCGGCUAACUCCGUGCCAGCAGCCGCGGUAAUACGGAGGGCGCAAGCGUUACUCGGAAUCACUGGGCGUAAAGAGCGUGUAGGCGGAUUAAAAAGUCAGAAGUGAAAUCCUAUAGCUUAACUAUAGAACUGCUUCUGAAACUCUUAAUCUAGAAUGUGGGAGAGGUAGAUGGAAUUUCUGGUGUAGGGGUAAAAUCCGUAGAGAUCAGAAGGAAUACCGAUUGCGAAGGCGAUCUACUAGAACAUUAUUGACGCUGAGACGCGAAAGCGUGGGGAGCAAACAGGAUUAGAUACCCCUGUAGUC